This 1486-nucleotide ribosomal RNA is filed under the name marine metagenome. RNAcentral describes it as "bacterial LSU rRNA". It matches the Rfam family "Bacterial large subunit ribosomal RNA", at positions 1270 to 2857 of the family's 2925-position model. The record is from RNAcentral.
AAAAUGGAAAUAUCAGAAAUGAAAAUGUUGGUAUGAGUAACGAUAAACAAUGUGAAAAACAUUGUCGCCUUAAGUUCAAGGUUUCCAAAACAAGGCUAAUCCGUUUUGGUGUGUAGUUAAUCGGUCUCUAAGAGAAAAACGAAAGUUUUGUUUCGAUGAGUUAAAAAGAAUAAUCUUUUUAUAUAUUUAAAGUGACAAAAUGUAAAUAUCAUUUUUAUUUUAUGGUUUAAAUAAAAGUCUUAUAGCAUUUUCUAGAAAAAGCUUAAAUAGCAACAAAACCGUACCCUAAACCGACACAGGUGAACAAGUUUAGUAAACUAAGGCGCUUGAGAGAAUUAUGUUGAAGGAACUCGGCAAAAUGACUCCGUAACUUCGGAAUAAGGAGUGACUUUAUGGGGGUAACCCUGUAGAGUUGUCACAAAAUCGGGGACAGCGACUGUUUAAUAAAAACACAGGUCUCUGCUAAUUCGUAAGAAGAUGUAUUGAGACUGACGCCUGCCCAGUGCUGCAAGAUUAAAGGAAAAGGUCUUUUGGCUUUGACCCUAAACCCCAGUAAACGGCGGCUGUAACUCUGACGGUCCUAAGGUAGCGAAAUUCCUUGGCAUUUAAUUGGUGUCCUGCAUGAAUGGCGUAACGACUGUCCCACUGUCUCCAGCACAAGCUCAGUGAAAUUGAAUUCUCCGUGAAGAUGCGGAGUACCUGCGGCUAGACGGAAAGACCCCGUGCACCUUUACUAUAGUUAUAUGUUGUGUUAAGAAUUUUUGUGUGUAGAAUAAGUGGAAGUUGUUUUACUGCUUUAGAAAGCUGUAGAUAAGGUAGGUUUUUGCACAAGCAAAUUACUUAAGCAUCUGUUGAAAUACCACUCUCAAAAGUUUUUAGCACUAACUAUUUAAGACAGCGUAUAAUGGGUAGUUUGACUGGGGCGGUCGCCUCCUAAAGAGUAACGGAGGCGUGCAAAGGUAACUUUGGGUUGAAAUUAUAACAACUCUAAAGCAUAAUAGUAAAUAGUUGACUGACUGUAAGAUUGACAAAUCAAGCAGGGACGAAAGUCGGUUAUAGUGAUCCGGUGAUUCUGUGUGGAAAAGGUCACCGCUCAACGAAUAAAAGGUACGCCGGGGAUAACAGGCUAAUCACCCUCUAGAGACCCUAUCGACGGGGUGGUUUGGCACCUCGAUGUUGGAUUAUCGCAUCCUGGAGCUGUAGGAGGUUCCAAGGGUUUGGCUGUUCGCCAAUGAAGGCGGUACAUGAUCUGAGUUUAGAACGUCGUGAGACAGUUUGGUCCCUAUCUACCGCAAGUGCAAAAAAUUGAAAGGAGUAAACCCUAGUACGAGAGGACCGGGAAAAGUAAAUCUCUGGUGAAUCGAUUGUUAUACCAAUAGCAUAGUCGAGUAGCUACAUUUAUAAUAAAUAAUCACUGAAAGCAUCUAAGUGAGAAAUUAACCUUAAUACAAAUUUUUUUUUAACUGUAAUAGAUUAUUACAUUGAU